This 440-nucleotide ribosomal RNA is filed under the name uncultured bacterium. Its description in RNAcentral is "partial 16S ribosomal RNA". It matches the Rfam family "Bacterial small subunit ribosomal RNA", at positions 338 to 795 of the family's 1533-position model. The record is from RNAcentral.
CCUACGGGAGGCAGCAGUGGGGGAUAUUGCACAAUGGGGGAAACCCUGAUGCAGCGACGCCGCGUGUGGGAAGAAGGUCCUCUGGUUUGUAAACUAUUGUCCCCAGGGACGACGAUGACGGUACCUGGGGAGGAAGCUCCGGCAAACCAGGUGCCAGCAGCCCCGGAAAUACGGGGGGAGCGAGCGUUGUGCGGAAUUACGGGGGGAAAAGGGAGCGUAAGCGGGGAUGCAAGUUGGGUGUAAAAACUACCGGCUCAACUGGUAGUCGCACUCGAAACUGCAGCUCUUGAGUGAAGUAGAGGCAGGCGGAAUUCCUAGUGUAGCAGUGAAAUGCGUAGAUAUUAGGAGGAACACCAGUGGCGAAGGCGGCCUGCUGGGCUUUUACUGACGCUGAGGCUCGAAAGUGUGGGGAGCAAACAGGAUUAGAUACCCCAGUAGUC